CACUCACUAUCCGCCCGGGUACUACGAGCUUUAGCUUAAAACCCAAAGGACUUGGCGGUGCUUAAGAUCCACCUAGAGGAGCCUGUUCUAUAACCGAUAACCCCCGUUUAACCUCACUCUUUCUUGUUUAAACCGCCUAUAUACCGCCGUCGUCAGCUCACCCUGUGAAGGCCCCGUAGUAAGCUAGGUUGGCACGACCCAAAACGCCAGGUCGAGGUGUAGCGUAUGAAAGAGGAAGAAAUAGGCUACAUUUCCUAAGCAGGAAACACGGACAAUAAACUAAAAUAUGUAUUAGAAGGAGGAUUUAGCAGUAAAUGAGGAAC
Molecule: ribosomal RNA, 323 nt
Filed under: Liza parsia
Lineage: Eukaryota; Metazoa; Chordata; Actinopteri; Mugiliformes; Mugilidae
Description: partial 12S ribosomal RNA
Rfam family: Bacterial small subunit ribosomal RNA
Source: RNAcentral